Molecule: ribosomal RNA, 352 nt
Filed under: uncultured bacterium
Lineage: Bacteria
Description: bacterial SSU rRNA
Rfam family: Bacterial small subunit ribosomal RNA
Source: RNAcentral
AGAGUUUGAUCCUGGCUCAGGAUGAACGCUAGCUACAGGCUUAACACAUGCAAGUCGAGGGGAAACGAUAUUGGAAGCUUGCUUCCGAUAGGCGUCGACCGGCGCACGGGUGAGUAACGCGUAUCCAACCUGCCCACCACUUGGGGAUAACCUUGCGAAAGUAAGACUAAUACCCAAUGAUAUCUCUAGAAGACAUCUGAAAGAGAUUAAAGAUUUAUCGGUGAUGGAUGGGGAUGCGUUCCAUUAGGUAGUAGGCGGGGUAAUGGCCCACUAGCCGACGAUGGAUAGGGGUUCUGAGAGGAAGGUCCCCCANAUUGGAACUGAGACACGGUCCAAACUCCUACGGGAGGCA